CUGGCUCAGGACGAACGCUGGCGGCGUGCCUAAUACAUGCAAGUAGAACGCUGAAGAGAGGAGCUUGCUCUUCUUGGAUGAGUUGCGAACGGGUGAGUAACGCGUAGGUAACCUGCCUUGUAGCGGGGGAUAACUAUUGGAAACGAUAGCUAAUACCGCAUAACAAUGGAUGACACAUGUCAUUUAUUUGAAAGGGGCAAUUGCUCCACUACAAGAUGGACCUGCGUUGUAUUAGCUAGUAGGUGAGGUAACGGCUCACCUAGGCGACGAUACAUAGCCGACCUGAGAGGGUGAUCGGCCACACUGGGACUGAGACACGGCCCAGACUCCUACGGGAGGCAGCAGUAGGGAAUCUUCGGCAAUGGGGGCAACCCUGACCGAGCAACGCCGCGUGAGUGAAGAAGGUUUUCGGAUCGUAAAGCUCUGUUGUAAGUCAAGAACGAGUGUGAGAGUGGAAAGUUCACACUGUGACGGUAGCUUACCAGAAAGGGACGGCUAACUACGUGCCAGCAGCCGCGGUAAUACGUAGGUCCCGAGCGUUGUCCGGAUUUAUUGGGCGUAAAGCGAGCGCAGGCGGUUUGAUAAGUCUGAAGUUAAAGGCUGUGGCUCAACCAUAGUUCGCUUUGGAAACUGUCAAACUUGAGUGCAGAAGGGGAGAGUGGAAUUCCAUGUGUAGCGGUGAAAUGCGUAGAUAUAUGGAGGAACACCGGUGGCGAAAGCGGCUCUCUGGUCUGUAACUGACGCUGAGGCUCGAAAGCGUGGGGAGCGAACAGGAUUAGAUACCCUGGUAGUCCACGCCGUAAACGAUGAGUGCUAGGUGUUGGAUCCUUUCCGGGAUUCAGUGCCGCAGCUAACGCAUUAAGCACUCCGCCUGGGGAGUACGACCGCAAGGUUGAAACUCAAAGGAAUUGACGGGGGCCCGCACAAGCGGUGGAGCAUGUGGUUUAAUUCGAAGCAACGCGAAGAACCUUACCAGGUCUUGACAUCCCGAUGCUAUUUCUAGAGAUAGAAAGUUACUUCGGUACAUCGGUGACAGGUGGUGCAUGGUUGUCGUCAGCUCGUGUCGUGAGAUGUUGGGUUAAGUCCCGCAACGAGCGCAACCCCUAUUGUUAGUUGCCAUCAUUCAGUUGGGCACUCUAGCGAGACUGCCGGUAAUAAACCGGAGGAAGGUGGGGAUGACGUCAAAUCAUCAUGCCCCUUAUGACCUGGGCUACACACGUGCUACAAUGGUUGGUACAACGAGUUGCGAGUCGGUGACGGCAAGCUAAUCUCUUAAAGCCAAUCUCAGUUCGGAUUGUAGGCUGCAACUCGCCUACAUGAAGUCGGAAUCGCUAGUAAUCGCGGAUCAGCACGCCGCGGUGAAUACGUUCCCGGGCCUUGUACACACCGCCCGUCACACCACGAGAGUUUGUAACACCCGAAGUCGGUGAGGUAACCUUUUGGAGCCAGCCGCCUAAGGUGGGAUAGAUGAUUGGGGUAAAG
This 1482-nucleotide ribosomal RNA is filed under the name uncultured bacterium. RNAcentral describes it as "bacterial SSU rRNA". It matches the Rfam family "Bacterial small subunit ribosomal RNA". The record is from RNAcentral.